GAUGAACGCUGGCGGCGUGCCUAAUACAUGCAAGUCGAGCGAACAGAUAAGGAGCUUGCUCCUUUGACGUUAGCGGCGGACGGGUGAGUAACACGUGGGUAACCUACCUAUAAGACUGGAAUAACUCCGGGAAACCGGGGCUAAUGCCGGAUAACAUUUAGAACCGCAUGGUUCUAAAGUGAAAGAUGGUUUUGCUAUCACUUAUAGAUGGACCCGCGCCGUAUUAGCUAGUUGGUAAGGUAACGGCUUACCAAGGCAACGAUACGUAGCCGACCUGAGAGGGUGGUCGGCCACACUGGAACUGAGACACGGUCCAGACUCCUACGGGAGGCAGCAGUAGGGAAUCUUCCGCAAUGGGCGAGAGCCUGACGGAGCAACGCCGCGUGAGUGAUGAAGGUCUUCGGAUCGUAAAACUCUGUUAUUAGGGAAGAACAAAUGUGUAAGUAACUGUGCACGUCUUGACGGUACCUAAUCAGAAAGCCACGGCUAACUACGUG
Molecule: ribosomal RNA, 497 nt
Filed under: uncultured bacterium
Lineage: Bacteria
Description: partial 16S ribosomal RNA
Rfam family: Bacterial small subunit ribosomal RNA
Source: RNAcentral